RNAcentral lists this ribosomal RNA (520 nucleotides) under uncultured bacterium. RNAcentral's name for it is "bacterial SSU rRNA". It matches the Rfam family "Bacterial small subunit ribosomal RNA", at positions 374 to 885 of the family's 1533-position model. The record is from RNAcentral.
GACGAAAGUCUGAUGGAGCAACGCCGCGUGAGCGAAGAAGGCCUUCGGGUCGUAAAGCUCUGUUGUUAGGGAAGAACAAGUAUCGGAGUAACUGCCGGUACCUUGACGGUACCUAACCAGAAAGCCACGGCUAACUACGUGCCAGCAGCCGCGGUAAUACGUAGGUGGCAAGCGUUGUCCGGAAUUAUUGGGCGUAAAGCGCGCGCAGGCGGUCCUUUAAGUCUGAUGUGAAAGCCCACGGCUCAACCGUGGAGGGUCAUUGGAAACUGGGGGACUUGAGUGCAGAAGAGGAAAGCGGAAUUCCACGUGUAGCGGUGAAAUGCGUAGAGAUGUGGAGGAACACCAGUGGCGAAGGCGGCUUUCUGGUCUGUAACUGACGCUGAGGCGCGAAAGCGUGGGGAGCAAACAGGAUUAGAUACCCUGGUAGUCCACGCCGUAAACGAUGAGUGCUAAGUGUUAGGGGGUUUCCGCCCCUUAGUGCUGCAGCUAACGCAUUAAGCACUCCGCCUGGGGAGUACGG